AAACCGAAGGCUGUGUGAUCCCUGGUCCGUGUUUGUUGAAAUCGUCCAAUAUGCUUUGUUGAUCAGCUUUCUUAAAUCCCUUAAGUUCCAAAAUUCGCUGAAACUCCAUCAGAGUUCCUUCCGGCAGUAGUGCACGAUAUGUAUCUGCCACAGAAUCGAUGGGAGAAAGUAUAACCUUCAAAAGAGCUUCAGCUUUGCUCAUCUCACGGCUUACAAAUUUUGAGUAGCUAGCG
RNAcentral lists this unclassified non-coding RNA (233 nucleotides) under Hevea brasiliensis (rubber tree). The record is from RNAcentral. Lineage: Eukaryota; Viridiplantae; Streptophyta; Magnoliopsida; Malpighiales; Euphorbiaceae.